CUUGGCCUACGGGACGCAGCAGUGGGGAAUAUUGCACAAUGGGGGGGACCCCGAUGCAGCGACGCCGCGUGAAGGAAGAAGUAUUUCGGUAUGUAAACUUCUAUCAGCAGGGAAGAAAAUGACGGUACCUGACUAAGAAGCCCCGGCUAACUACGUGCCAGCAGCCGCGGUAAUACGUAGGGGGCAAGCGUUAUCCGGAUUUACUGGUUGUAAAGGGAGCGUAGGCGGUUUAGCAAGUCAGAAGUGAAAGCCCGGGGCUCAACUCCGGGACUGCUUUUGAAACUGUUGAACUAGAUUGCAGGAGG
This 305-nucleotide ribosomal RNA is filed under the name uncultured bacterium. RNAcentral's name for it is "bacterial SSU rRNA". It matches the Rfam family "Bacterial small subunit ribosomal RNA", at positions 333 to 655 of the family's 1533-position model. The record is from RNAcentral.